This 508-nucleotide non-coding RNA is filed under the name Cavia porcellus (domestic guinea pig). RNAcentral describes it as "Eukaryotic large subunit ribosomal RNA". It matches the Rfam family "Eukaryotic large subunit ribosomal RNA", at positions 2442 to 2924 of the family's 3401-position model. The record is from Rfam by way of RNAcentral. Lineage: Eukaryota; Metazoa; Chordata; Mammalia; Rodentia; Caviidae.
AGAAAAAUGUUGUGUUUUUAUUUAUUUUUGGUAUCAGAGAUGAAACUCACAACCUCACACUUGCCAGGAAUGCACUUAUGUCACUAAGGUACACUGAUUUUUCACUGACCCUGUUGAGAUGCGGAAGGGAGCCCAAAGGGCUCUCGCUUAUGGAACCAAGUGCCUGGCCACCCUUGUGUAUGUCCCCUGAGUGCCAUAUUCCCUGGGGACAGUGCCAGGUGAGGAGUUUGACUGGGGCAGUACACCUGUCAAACAGUUACACAGGUUCCCUAAACUGAGCUCAGAGAGGACAGAAACCUCCCAUGGAGGCCAAGGGCAAAAGCUCCCUUCAUCUUGAUUUUCAGUAGGAAUAAAGACUGUGAAAACAGGGCUUCAGGAUCCUUCUGACCUUGUGGGAUUUAAGCAGAAGGUAUCAGAAAAGUUACCAUAGGGAUAACUGUCUUGUGGCAGACAAGUAUUCAUAGCAAUGUCGAUUUUUGAUCAUUCUGAAGCAAAAUUCACCAAGAUU